This 468-nucleotide ribosomal RNA is filed under the name uncultured bacterium. RNAcentral describes it as "partial 16S ribosomal RNA". It matches the Rfam family "Bacterial small subunit ribosomal RNA", at positions 28 to 507 of the family's 1533-position model. The record is from RNAcentral.
GACGAACGCUGGCGGCGUGCUUAACACAUGCAAGUCGAACGGAAAGGCCCUGCUUUUGUGGGUCGCUCGAGUGGCGAGCGGGUGAGUAACACGUGAGUAACAUGUCCUUGUCUUUGGGAUAUCUUCAGGAAACUGGGGAUAAUGCCGGAUAGGAGCUCCUGCUGCAUGUGGGGGGUUGGAAAGUUUCGGCGGUUUGGGAUGGUCUCGCGGCUUAUCAGCUUGUUGGUGGGGUAGUGGUUUACCAAGGGUUUGACGGGUAGCCGGCCUGAGAGGGGGAACGGCCACAUUAGUACUGAGGGACGGACCAGUAUCCUACGGGAGGCAGCAGGGGGGAGUAUUGCGGAAUGGGCGGAAGCCUGAUACAGCAACGCCGCGUGCGGGAUAACGUGUUUCGGGUUGUAAACAACUUUCGCCUUAAACAAGGCGUGAGUGACGGUAAUGGGUAAAGAAGCACCGGCUAACUACGUG